GGAAGUGUGCCCGAAAGAUAA
RNAcentral lists this transfer RNA (21 nucleotides) under Scinax altae. Its description in RNAcentral is "partial tRNA-Ile". The record is from RNAcentral. Lineage: Eukaryota; Metazoa; Chordata; Amphibia; Anura; Hylidae.